Molecule: unclassified non-coding RNA, 331 nt
Filed under: soil metagenome
Description: partial contains 5.8S ribosomal RNA, internal transcribed spacer 2, and large subunit ribosomal RNA
Rfam family: 5.8S ribosomal RNA (bases 1-120)
Source: RNAcentral
GAUGAAGAACGUAGCGAAAUGCGAUACGUAAUGUGAAUUGCAGAAUUCAGUGAAUCAUCGAGUCUUUGAACGCACAUUGCGCCCCCUGGUAUUCCGGGGGGCAUGCCUGUUCGAGCGUCAUUAUAACCACUCAAGCUCUUGCUUGGUAUUGGGGUUCGCGGUUUCGCGGCCCCUAAAAUCAGUGGCGGUGCCUGUCGGCUCUACGCGUAGUAAUACUCCUCGCGAUUGAGUCCGGUAGGUCUACUUGCCAGCAACCCCUAAUUUUUUUUAAGGUUGACCUCGGAUCAGGUAGGGAUACCCGCUGAACUUAAGCAUAUCAAUAAGCGGAGGA